CCUCGGCGCUCCGCGUCCCCCGACCGAUGCGGCGGCGCGCUGCUUCCGGUCUCUCUGGGGCCCUGAUGCUAGAGUUCCGCUCUCGCGAGAGACGCCUUCUGCGCCUGCGCAGGAUUCAAAUGUGUAGCGCGUUCGUUCGAGGGGACUGGAGGUCAGCAGUCGGCUCGGCGGCCCUCAGCAUGAACCCCAUCCAGAGUUUCCACUGUAAGCUGCGGGGUCUGGCCACCACGCUGGACAGCGAGACGGCCCGGCUGCUGAGAGCGCUGGACGGCGAGGACAGCGACUUUGAAGAUUCUCCAGGGAGAAUUUUGCAUGACCUUCAUUCAGAAGUCCAGACUCUAAAGGAUAAUGUUAAUGCUCUUCUCGAUGAAGCAAGAUUGGAGAACCAAGAAAGCACAAGGUUCAAAAAGGCAACAAAAAUACUGAUGGAAAAAAACUCAGCAGACGUCAGAAAACUAAGAGAGUUUUUCCAGAAGUAUGGCUACCAAGCGCGUGACAAGGAGGAUUCAGGCUGUGAGCACAGAGUGAACAACUCCACCCCAGAGUUAGCUGUGUGUAAAGACAUUCAAAAGGCCGGUGUGAAGGAGCUGUCUGAUCCCUGUGUUCCGAGCGGUUCUGUUUCUGAAGAGCCUCUGCGAAGCCCACAGCUCUCAGACUUUGGACUUCAGCGGUACAUAAUUUCCCAAGUCCCAGCCAACCCUCCCCAGACAGCUGCCAGCCUCAAAGAAGAACGUGUAGCUGAGACCCCUCCUGCCAAAGACCCCUCUGUUCAAGUGCUGAAGACCCCGCGGUGUGCUCUAAGGAUGGAUGAUUUUGAGUGUGAAACUCCUAAAUUAGAACACUUUGGUAUAUCUGAACAUACUAUGUGUUUAAAUGAAGAUUACACAAUGGGACUUAAAAAUAUGAAGAACAUUAAAAGUUCCCUUUUGAGUGGUGUCAGUGGAGAAGCCAUAGGAACUGGGCCUGUGACCAGUGAUAAUUCUUUUGCCAUUCCUGGUCCCAUAAUCCAGCAGAUGGAAGAAAACGAUGUGGAAUACGUAAGUUCACCAUUGCCACCUAAAUUCUGCACUCCUGGUUUGAAAAUUCCUUCUACAAUGGACAGAACAGAUUUGAUGAAUGCUAUCAGAGUUUUGCAGAGCCCCCUUCUUCAGCAAUUACUUCUUGUGAAAAUUUUGCAACACCAUCUCCUCCGAAAGUUACUGCGAUUCCAGAAGACAUUCUCCAGGUCAUUUUCUAGGUUUUUUUUUUCCUAAUAUUUUCAAAAUUAUAUAUCUGUGUUAGAAAACUGCAAUCGCAUAUAAACUGUCAUAUUUGCCAUCAUGCUUUGGGUAUUGAGAAAAACCUUAAGGCUUUCCUGAACCAGUCAGAAGUUUCUAACUUGGUGUUAGUAAUAUUACUCUCCUGGGGUACUUUGUCUUGUAGCUUGUUCUACAGUGUAUUGUUUCUGUUAGUUUUUAAUCUGUAGUUGCUAUAUUAGCUAUCGUCCAAUUAAAAGUGGGAGUGUCCUUUGCCCUAUAAUUCUCCAUAGCAAGGUCUCAUUAAUAACACGUGCCUGCAUUUCUCAAACUGUCAGUGUGCAGGCACAUAGCAUUGAUUCACAUAGUAUUAAAAUAUUUGACUGUGGAGUAUGGCACCACCAGCUAGUAGACACUACAAGAGGACUAGUCUGACUCUAGUCUGCUUUAUAGUGUUGAGCAGUUAGUGCUGGGGUGCAGCGAAGUCCUGUGUGACUGGGGUGCCAUGAGAGCAGUAAACUGUGAGACAUCUAUUUUUAAUUGUGUGUAUAUUGUGGGUGUGUAGGUGUGUACCUUUGAAUGCAGGUGCCUGAGUAGUCAGAAGAGGGAGGCAGAGCUAGCGUUAGAGGCAAUAGUAAGCUGUCCAAAGUCGGAGCUGGGAACUGAACUCUGGUCCUCUGUAAGAGCUUAACUGCUAUCUCCAGUCCCACCACCUGACUGCUUGCUUUCUUAGAGGAGAAAGUAGGUAAGGAGCCACCUGAUUUAUGAGCACAUGUGGGGGUUACUACUUCCUGCUGGAGGGCUUCUUCCUAUGAGGGUACGGAAACCUUGUCUUUGUCUUAGUGGUUGCUUCUUUUUAGGGGUGAAACACUGGGGCUUGUGUAUGGUAUAGAAGCACUUGGCCACUUUGUCACCUGCCCAGUCCCAGGGACACCUUACACUCAGUGUGCUCCUUCCAGUUUUUCCUUUCCAUGUUUUAAUUGUGUAAGUUUAUUAUACAUGGUAAUGUGUUAUUAUUAUUAUUAUACAUGGUAAUGGUUUUCAUGGUGACAUUUUCAUAUAUGUACAUAAUAUAUUCAUGUUUACAGAUAUAUGCAAACACCCAUUUCCUUCUCUUGUUUCGCUAUUGCAGAUCUCCUUCCCCUUCCCAACAGCGCCCUCUGUCUUUAUGUUGAGAGAGACUCUGAAGGAGAGAUGAGCAUGACUGAGGGCUUGUUUAUGAGUGGCUAUGCCACUGGCGUCAGGGCUUCACUCUCAUUCACUGUGUCUCGGUUCCCAAGGAAGAGCUGGGGCCUGUGAGCCUCCCCGUCCAUGAGGGUGCUCACUUGCUGUCUACAGUGCACAGACUCACAGCUGCUGCAUAUAUUCUCUUCAGUGCAUUGGGGAGUCUUCCUGUCUUUUUUUUUUUUUUUUUUUUUCAUCCUCAUCAAGACUUAACAUGGCUCUCGGGAUAUUUCCAUUAACUUCAGUAAAUGUGUCUUUAGACUUUAGACAUCAAACUUCCAUAUGAAGUUAAAAUCUUAUAUAUUUUUUUUACUAUUCAAUGUCUGUGUGAAUUGCUGUUGUUUGUUUUUGUUUUUUUGUUUUUUCGAGACAGGGUUUCUCUGUAUAACCCUGGCUGUCCUGGAACUCACUCUGUAGACCAGGCUGGCCUCAAACUCAGAAAUCCGCCUGCCUCUGCCUCCCGAGUGCUGGGAUUAAAGGCGUGCGCCACCAUGCCCAGCUUGUUUUGUUUUGUUUUGUUUUUAAGUAUUGUAAGUAACCCUUAAGUUCAUGGCUUUUCUUGAAUGUUUCUAACACCUUGCCUAUUUGUCAUUGACAUGACCUGAUAAAAAGAAAUGUGUUUUGUUUUAGAUGAUAACAAAGCACAGCUCAAACCUAGCUUCUCCCUUGGAUGUUAAAGUGAUGCCACGGAGGAAGGGCACCCGAGGCGCUGCCAACAAGGAAAACUGGUAACGGAAUUCUACAGUGGAUACAUCCAAUACAGAAGCUAGACAGAACAGGAAAGUGAGCUGGACUAAGGUUCUCAGGAUUAUAACUGGUUAGCACAGACCAGUAGAAGUGGAGAGAGGGCUCCUGCUGGCAGUCAGUCUUCUUUCUCCCAGUCUCUCUUAUUUCAUUCUUACGGGAAUGUUUCCGUUUCACCGCACUGUGGUGGCCUUUCCAGCUUGACCACCCAGCAGAUCCCGAUUCUACCUGGAAGAUUCUGAACACCUACUCUGAGCCAGAAGCCUUGGGAACGUCUUGAUUCUGGAACUAUCUAAUGGCCUUUGAGCCCAAGAUCCUUCUGAUCCAAGAACAGUUAGAAAGUAAUUCUCCAAGUUCAUGACAGUGCUACUUGGGAGAGCUUUGUGCUGCAGCCAGGUAGGGAAUGAGGAGCUGGUGUUCUGAAGAGUCCAGCUACAAUUUUGAGAAAUAAUUGGCAAAUACCAGUUGACUGACUAGUUUUGGGAAUUUCUUUCUCCCAAUACAGGGUUUCUCUGUGUAGCUGUGGCAGUCCUGAAACUUACUCUGUAGACCAGGCUAGAUCCUCCUGUCUCUGCCUCUUGAGUAGAAAUUAAAGAUGUGUACCACCACCGUCUGGCAGCUUUAGGAAAUUUUGUGUGGCAUAAAGAUUAUUCUAAUUGUGCAUUGAAAAUCAAGUGGAGAGCUAGAGAGAUGGCUCAGUGGUUAAGAGCACUGACUGUUCUUCCAGAGGUCCUGAGUUCAAUUCCCAGCAACCACAUGGUGGUAACAACCAUCUGUAAUGGGAUCCGUUGCCCUCUUCUGGCGUGUCUAAAGACCGCUACAAUGUACUCAUCUACAUAAAUAAUUCUGUUUAAAAAAAAAUCAAGUGGAAAAAUUCCAGGAUAAUACUAAUAAGUGCUUGUAUUUUUUGUUGUUGUUGUUAUUGUACAUAAUGUAAAAUAAAUGAUUUUCUGAGUAGCCCAC
Molecule: RNA transcript, 4166 nt
Organism: Mus musculus (house mouse)
Lineage: Eukaryota; Metazoa; Chordata; Mammalia; Rodentia; Muridae
Gene: Ska3
Gene name: spindle and kinetochore associated complex subunit 3
Exons: 8
Source: RefSeq, marked validated